Leptopilina boulardi is the source of this 595-nucleotide long non-coding RNA. RefSeq lists it as uncharacterized. The record is from RefSeq and is a predicted model, not a curated record. The transcript is spliced from 2 exons. Lineage: Eukaryota; Metazoa; Arthropoda; Insecta; Hymenoptera; Figitidae.
AAGUGUACACUAGUAUAAAUACGUAAAUGCCCCCUCGACAUAACCUAAAUUCAAAAAAAUUAUUUGAUACAAUAGCAUCCAAAUAGAUUAAUAAUUUGUCGUUUAUUUUUUUUAUUACUUGAAAAAAAUUGAUAUCGUUUAAAAAAAACUCGAACCAACGGUAAAAGGUGAUGGGUGGAGUCUCUCUCGUACCAUUGUACCGCCUUUAACAAAUACUUGAAACCAGGGUAUAAGGAAAAGCUUGACUAUAGUUUCGAGCGACAGCUGCCACGUGCCUGAGUUACUUUUCUGGAUCAUGUUCGCCUGCGAUCGCAAGACUUGCGUGUGACCCGGCCUGGGGACAUGGGCACGUCCUUAACGAAGGUCAAUGACCUCCGUUAGACUGUAGAAAUAUAUUACACUUGGCACUGAAGCUCAAUGUGAUAGUGGUACACUGCAAAAAUAUAUAUAUAUAUAUAUAUAUAUAUAUACAUACAACACCGAGAGAGGCAAAUGUAUUACCGUACUGGGGAAAGCAGGCCAUGUGAAUUUAUAGCAAUUUUUAAUUUAAAAAAGAGAGAAUUUUUUAUUUCUUUUGAAUAAAAUUUAUUUUUAA